UCAAGCAAUUGCUCUAAGACAAUUAUAGGCUAAAGGAAACCCCAGACUAUUGUUGUCUCAGCCAAUAUAUGCAUCCGGUGAUUCUCUAUACGAUGAGGCAGAGCCUCCAAAAUUCAAUCCGGCUCCGGCGGUGGUCUGAUGACGGACUGCGGCAAAUCCCAAUCCAAAAUCAUUCUCCGCGCCGCUGGCGAGUCUUUGAAUUUAGCAUAGAGCAAGCGUUGUUUCACCAUAUCCAUGAUUCCUAGCUCUCUAGUGCUGUAAUGCCCAGCGAAUGAAUCCUUCCUAAUUGAGAUGAGAAACUUGAAAUCGGCAUUUGUACUGCAAGAAAUUCCAAAUUGGUUAUGUGAAAGUACAUGUGAAAAACAAGUGGUCGUGGGACUCUUUAACUGUUUGGCAGAGGCGACAUAGUCUUGAAUUUUAUUAUUUUCAUAACCAAUAAUAUAAUAGGGUUGUUAGGGCAUCUCACUUCCUUUUUGUGUUUCAAUUAUUAAUCGGGGUGAAUGAAUCUGGCGACUGCAUCUUCCUCUUCCUCUUCUUUCUACGUUUGUGAAUCAACAGAGAAUUCCUUUUUGUGUUUCAAUUAUUAAUCUGAGUGAUUGAAUCUAUUUCUUCCUCUCCCUUUCCCGCUCCCAAUUAAGGAUGAAUGAAUCUGGGAUUCUUGUCUAUCAAUCAUGUAUCAAUCGAUGAUAAAGAUGGUAACUUUGGUAUGUCGAUCAACACAACUAAGGGAUCAACACUCUAUUAAGAUAAUUUUACCCUUCUUCUUGACUAUAUAUCAACACUACUCUAUUGUUACAUCUAUUUGCGGCGGCUGCUUCUUUGAUUUGAUUCGAUUCUUGUGUAUCAAUCAAAGAAGAAUAAAUUGAUAAUGUCAUGUAAAGUUUGAGACUUUAUUUGCAGGGAUGUCGAGAUCAGAGAUGUAAUGGCUGAUGUGGAGAGCAGCGAUGAGGAAAAAACGAUGUAAUGGCUUCAGAAGAUAGAAGAAAUAGGUUUAGUAAGAUUGGAAUUUCACGAUUGAGGAUGAAUGAAUCUGGGCUUCUUGUCUAUCAAUCGACGUCGACUGCUUCUUCUUGGGUAAACCGUCUGCUUCUUCUUGGGAAUCUUGAGAUCAGAGGUGGAGAGCAGCGAUGAGGAAGAAACGGGCAAUGCUUCAGAACAUAGAAGAAAUAGGUUUAGUAAGAUUGGAAUUUUACUAUUGAGGAUAAAUAAAUCCGGGUUUCUUAUCUAUCAAUCGUGUAUCAAUUGACGGUGGGCUCUUUCUUGUGUAUAAAUCGAUUCGAUUCUUAUGUAUCAAUCGAAAAGGAAGAAAUUCUUAUGUCAUGUAAAGAUUGAGACUUUAUUUGCAAGGAUGUCGAGAUCAGAGAUGUAAUGGCUGAUGUGGAGAGCAGCAAUGAGGAAGAAAUGGCCGUGCAAUGUAAUGGCUUCAGAAAAUAGAAGAAAUAGAGAGGAAGAAACGGGUAAUAGUAGUGAUAUGAUAUGGUAGGAGCCUUUCUAGCCAUCAGAAGAAUGUGAGGUUGCCAUCUCCAAUUCUGUUUUUGAUUAUAGGUCUCUGGUUUGAGUUCUAAAGAUGGGAUAGUUUGGGAAGGUUUUAGUUCUAAAAGGGAAUUCUGUUUUUGAUUAAAGGUGUCUCUGGACUUACAAUUGCAAAAUUCUCAUAUCAGGUUUCUCUCAUUCUGUCCCCUCUAAUAUUACACUUUAUUCUUUUUAUUUAUCAAUUAUUAUUAAUUUCUACUCCUUGA
This is a long non-coding RNA of Cornus florida, 1739 nucleotides long. RefSeq lists it as uncharacterized. Lineage: Eukaryota; Viridiplantae; Streptophyta; Magnoliopsida; Cornales; Cornaceae. The transcript has 3 exons. The record is from RefSeq and is a predicted model, not a curated record.